AGUGGGAUAACUGGGUCAAAUGGUGGUUCCAUUCCCAGUUUUCAGAGGAAUCUCCAAACUGUUUUUACAGAGUGUUUGUACCAAUUUGCAGUCCCACUAGCAAU
Molecule: microRNA precursor, 104 nt
Filed under: Marmota monax (woodchuck)
Lineage: Eukaryota; Metazoa; Chordata; Mammalia; Rodentia; Sciuridae
Source: RNAcentral